CGGGCAGCCUCGAGUUCGGAUUCCACUUCUCAGCCUUCUGGGGUCACUGAAACCCUCAGAACUCCGAGGACAAGUCGGACACGCCUUCGCCUCAGCCAUCUUCGCCAGCGCAAUAAGUCUCUGUGUCUUCACACUCCUGGUAGAGGGAAAACUAAAACCUCCGGGAGCCAGCGUCCGGCGGUGCCUGCAAUCUAACCGGGAUUUGGGGUUCCGAGCCACUUUUCCCACAAGCCACCGCGGUCAUGGAGCUUUAGGCUUAAACUACAUUUCCCAGAGGGCAACGGGAACACCCAAUCUAUGGCUUCCCUUCCGUUUUCGCGUGGUUCUUUUGCAAGUUUCAGGAAUUAGUGACAUUCAGGGAUGUGGCCAUAGACUUCUCUCGGCAGGAGUGGGAAUACCUGGACCCUAAUCAGAGGGACUUAUACAGGGAUGUGAUGUUGGAGAACUAUAGAAACCUGGUAUCACUGGAGAUGAGGUCUCGCUCUGUUGCCCGGGUUGGUCUCAAACUCCUGGUCUCAAGUGAUCCUCCCACCUCGGCCUUCCAAAAUGCUGGGAUUAUAGGCGUGAGCCACCAUGCCUAGCCAAUAGUAGUAUUAUUAUGUCCAGUUUAUUUGCCAAAUUGGAAUAAUGAGUUGAAGUCACAUGGCCAAAGUCACAAG
RNAcentral lists this long non-coding RNA (659 nucleotides) under Homo sapiens (human). RNAcentral's name for it is "non-protein coding lnc-ZNF607-1:1". Lineage: Eukaryota; Metazoa; Chordata; Mammalia; Primates; Hominidae. The record is from RNAcentral.